CCUCCUUUGCAACCAUUCUGCUGCAGGGCUGUUUUUUUGACAGCCCCUUGGGGGCUGUAGUAGGGGCAGUUUAAAAUGACAUAUAUUUCCACUCACUCAAAAUUCGGACAAUUCCAGAAAAAUCUGAGCUCCUUGUGUGUAUAUAGACGUUCAUAUUUAUAUUUCUACUUUGUUAAGCCAGUAGUUUUCAAAGUGUGGUCCCCGGGCCAGCAGCAUCCGUAUCAUCUGGGAACUUGGGAGAAGUGCAAAUUCGUGGUCUUAUGCUUGACUUACUGAAAGUCUGGGAUGAGACCCAGAAAUCUGUGUUCCUUUUUUUUGGAGGAAGUUUAGCCCUGAGCUAACAUCUGCUGCCAAUCCUCCUCUUUUUGCUGAGGAAGACUGGCCCUGAGCUAACAUCGUGCCCAUCUUCCUCUACUUUACAUGUGGGACGCCUACCACAGCAUGGCUUGCCAAGCGGUGCCAUGUCUGCACCCGGGAUCCGAACUGGCAAACCCCGGGCCGCCAAAGUGGAACAUGUGAACUUAACCGCUGCACCACCAGGCCGGCCCCAGAAAUCUGUGUCUUAACAAGUCCUCCUCCAGGCUGGAGCUGGAUGAAGACCCCCUAUUUGAUAGAGAUGGCCAAAACAGAAGGAGGAAGCUGGAGGGGGGACCUCUGGGUUGUGGAGCCAUCUUUAGUCACCAGGAAGGGACCGGGAGAACCAGGAUUGAAGGAACAGCCUGCUUCACGCGCGCCUCGGGAGAACAGAUGCAAGCCACUGGCCCUUUGCAGGGAAUAAAUGCAAUAUGGGGCUUCAACUCUAAAGAAGCUCCUUGCAUCCUCUUGGUGGCACCACUGUUGUCACCAAGCAGCUGCUGGUUUGCUAGGGAGGGGACACCUAUGUGGAAGUUUCGGUAAUUGUUUUCAAAUGUCAAUGUCAAGGAUUUUUUUUUCUUUUUGUAGUAAUACAGAUAAAGAAGGAUUGAACCAGUCCUUUCUCAGAAUUUGGUCCAGCUGGUCAGAA
RNAcentral lists this long non-coding RNA (1003 nucleotides) under Equus caballus (horse). RNAcentral's name for it is "lncRNA (ENSECAG00000045688.1)". Lineage: Eukaryota; Metazoa; Chordata; Mammalia; Perissodactyla; Equidae. The record is from RNAcentral.